Molecule: long non-coding RNA, 1879 nt
Filed under: Homo sapiens (human)
Lineage: Eukaryota; Metazoa; Chordata; Mammalia; Primates; Hominidae
Description: HSALNT0401996
Source: RNAcentral
CAGCACCAACCCAGCCACUCAUGGGAAAGUCAGGAAGAUGCCCGUCCAGCACCCGGAGGCCAGCGUUGUCACAGUCAGAAGGCGAGUCAGUGGCCCUUAUGUUCUAGCCCUCAGUUUCUCCAUCCACAAGACAAAGGGUUUGGAGUUUAUCAAGGUCUCAAAAACUGCAACUUAUUAAUAGGAUAGCUAAGAGAGGAAAAUGAGAGGAUCAAAAAUCCAAAAUGCUCUGUGGUGAAAUGAGGUUGGGAAGCACCACAUGACACAUUGCUCCUUAGAGAUGUCAUAAUGCACCUUAGCUCUUUAAAGGCUCUGAAAAGUCCUGCUGCAAAGAAAUGUCUGCUCCGGCAAUGGAGCGCAGUAACGAGCCGUUCAAACUUGUGUCAAGGUGUGGAUCACAGAGGCUGGGGGUCAAGAGGGAAGAGAAAUACAGCGACAAAUGGAAGGCUCUCCCUCAUUAGAGACACAGCCACCAGCAGAGACAAUCAGGGGGUGAGAGGCCCGGAAUCCUCUUUGUGAUGAAAUCCCCAGAGUGGUCCUCGGGUCCCACAGUGGGUGCUCAGGGAUGUAGGCUGUAGGGCUCCAGGCUCUGAGUUGAGGAAAAUUGGAGUUAAAUUUCAGUGAAGUAACCCUGAGCAAGUCAGUCUCUGUCCAUCAGGUUCUUUUGUUUGUAAAAUGGAGGUAGCCAUGAGGAUUGUUCUGAGAAUGAGUUAAAUGGAAAGAUAUGCUCAAGAUGCCAGCGCAAAGCCAGAGACUCAAGGUUCGCAGCUGGUUGGAGCAAACCUCAAUGUCAGUGUGAAUCUUCCACCAUGGGAUUCAAGCUGCCUUGGCUCUAAAGUAAGAUCACAGCUGCAGUGAGCUGACCCCAACUCAAGAUGGAACCAUCUUAGAACAAGCUCUUAGGAUAAAAAGCCAAAGCUCUCUAAUGUGUUCUGUGAUAAAGAAGACUAUGGAACUGACAGUCCAAACCGAGAAACUGGGGAGAGAGAGGAGGCAUUAUUGUCAACUCCAGGUCAUCCAACCUGUUUUAAGCUUUUUGUCAGCAAGAACCAGCCCUAUUUUAUUCAGCCCUGGAGCGGCCUCUCCACCAGGCACACAGCUUAGCACAAAGCAGGCCUCAGAUGCACGCUGGACAAAUGUGCUGGUAUCCUCUGCAUCCUUAUGGCCAAUAUCAGGGUUUGAGCCCCAGAAUUUCUGGAAAACUGGAGGCUCUACUGUUCCAUUCAACCCAGGCAUGAUCCAUCCAGAAACCCAGUGGAACUGAGCCGCGAGCUGGAUUCCAGCUCACAGAACACACCAAGAACUCUGGUGAAACAUCAAGAACUCUGGGGGGUCCCCCCAGAAAAAUCUGGGGGGCACUGCAGAGCUUCUGACACGGCUCUGGGGGAAAUCCCACACGGAUGGGCAGCUGCCUGCAUCUGGCACUGUGGAGGUGGGCGGGCAGCCAUGGAGGAUGGGGAGACUCAUCUUUCUAGACUUCUCCUGGGGACCGCAUUUCCUCCAGCCUCCAGGUCCAGACCAAAAUAGAAUGAGGUAAAUUCAGCCCCUUUCCUGAAGCACACUCAAGGAAUAAACAAGCACCACAAAUACAGUCUUCGGGCUGGGUCAUCUUUCCAACCUCAUUUUUUUUUUUUUUUAAGAGAACCACAGGCUGUUUUAAGAUUCCAAACCCAGAGACAGAAAAAGUGCAGCAAAGCAGGGCGACAAGGGGAAAGAAACUUGACAGUGCUUUGCAGACAGAAACAAGUGACGCAAUUUCCAAAUUCAAGAUUCUCAAAAACAGAGGCUGGGUUGGAACAUCUAGAGAAGGCCAGAGCGGGCUGUUCUAAGACUUAUUCUCACGGUAGCAUCCUGAAGCCGGGGGGGUCCAGGAAGGGGGCAG